GUGGACGCCAGUCUGCAUGGAGCCGACCUUGAAAUACCACCCUUUAAUGUUUGAUGUUCUAACGUGGACCCGUGAUCCGGGUUGCGGACAGUGUCUGGUGGGUAGUUUGACUGGGGCGGUCUCCUCCUAAAGAGUAACGGAGGAGCACGAAGGUUGGCUAAUCCUGGUCGGACAUCAGGAGGUUAGUGCAAUGGCAUAAGCCAGCUUGACUGCGAGCGUGACGGCGCGAGCAGGUGCGAAAGCAGGUCAUAGUGAUCCGGUGGUUCUGAAUGGAAGGGCCAUCGCUCAACGGAUAAAAGGUACUCCGGGGAUAACAGGCUGAUACCGCCCAAGAGUUCAUAUCGACGGCGGUGUUUGGCACCUCGAUGUCGGCUCAUCACAUCCUGGGGCUGAAGUAGGUCCCAAGGGUAUGGCUGUUCGCCAUUUAAAGUGGUACGCGAGCUGGGUUUAGAACGUCGUGAGACAGUUCGGUCCCUAUCUGCCGUGGGCGCUGGAGAACUGAGGGGGGCUGCUCCUAGUACGAGAGGACCGGAGUGGACGCAUCACUGGUGUUCGGGUUGUCAUGCCAAUG
This 571-nucleotide ribosomal RNA is filed under the name Salmonella enterica. Its description in RNAcentral is "partial 23S ribosomal RNA". It matches the Rfam family "Bacterial large subunit ribosomal RNA", at positions 2164 to 2734 of the family's 2925-position model. The record is from RNAcentral. Lineage: Bacteria; Pseudomonadati; Pseudomonadota; Gammaproteobacteria; Enterobacterales; Enterobacteriaceae.